GACGAACGCUGGCGGCGUGCCUAAUACAUGCAAGUUGAGCGCUGAAGGUUGGUACUUGUACCGACUGGAUGAGCAGCGAACGGGUGAGUAACGCGUGGCUAAUCUGCCUUUGAGCGGGGGACACCAUUUGGAAACGAAUGCUAAUACCGCAUAACAACUUUAAACACAAGUUUUAAGUUUGAAAGAUGCAAUUGCAUCACUCAAAGAUGAUCCCGCGUUGUAUUAGCUAGUUGGUGAGGUAAAGGCUCACCAAGGCGAUGAUACAUAGCCGACCUGAGAGGGUGAACGGCAACAAUGGGACUGGGACAGAGCCCAAGCUACUACGGGAGGCAGCAGUAGGGGAUCUUCAGCAAUGGACGAAAGUCUGACCGAGCAACGCCGCGUGGGUGAAGAAGGUUUUCGGAUCGUAAAACUCUGUUGGUAGAGAAGAACGUUGGUGAGACUGGAAAGCUCAUCAAGUGACGGUAACUACCGAGAAAGGGACGGCUAACUACGUG
This 497-nucleotide ribosomal RNA is filed under the name uncultured bacterium. RNAcentral's name for it is "partial 16S ribosomal RNA". It matches the Rfam family "Bacterial small subunit ribosomal RNA", at positions 28 to 507 of the family's 1533-position model. The record is from RNAcentral.